Molecule: ribosomal RNA, 254 nt
Filed under: uncultured bacterium
Lineage: Bacteria
Description: partial 16S ribosomal RNA
Rfam family: Bacterial small subunit ribosomal RNA
Source: RNAcentral
UACGGGGGGAGCAAGCGUUGUUCGGAUUUACUGGGCGUAAAGGGUGCGUAGGCGGUCAGCACAAGUCAGUUGUGAAAUCUCCGAGCUUAACUCGGAAAGGUCAACUGAUACUGUGCGGCUAGAGUGCGGAAGGGGCAACUGGAAUUCUUGGUGUAGCGGUGAAAUGCGUAGAUAUCAAGAGGAACACCUGCGGCGAAGGCGGGUUGCUGGGCCGACACUGACGCUGAUGCGCGAAAGCUAGGGGAGCAAACGGG